AAAAUCACCGCCACAAAUCCGUUUUCAUGAGCAACGGAUCGAGCCCACCGCAAAACAUCCUCUCAACACUCAAACACCUACAAAGCAAUCCACAUAAUUUAAGUUUUCUACUAGUAUUCAUUUUAUUAAAUCUGUGACAAACAAUAACAUUAUAACCUGAGAAGUAUUGAACGCAUCCGAACAAUCAACAUGUUGUUCAAUCACACCACUUGCAUCUUCAUUUUCAUAAUCCAUAUCCGCU
Molecule: long non-coding RNA, 241 nt
Filed under: Glycine max (soybean)
Lineage: Eukaryota; Viridiplantae; Streptophyta; Magnoliopsida; Fabales; Fabaceae
Description: long non-coding RNA (GMAX_LNC004126)
Source: RNAcentral